AUACGUAGGUGACAAGCGUUAUCCGGAUUUACUGGGCGUAAAGGGCGUGUAGGCGGUCUUGCAAGUCAGAAGUGAAAUUCCUGAGCUCAACUCGGGCGCUGCUUCUGAAACUGCAGGACUUGAGUGCUGGAGGGGAUAGCGGAAUUCCUAGUGGAGCGGUAAAAUGCGCAGAUAUUAGGAAGAACACCGGUGGCGAAGGCGGCUAUCUGGACAGUAACUGACGCUGAGGCUCGAAAGCGUGGGGAGCAAACAGGAUUAGAUACCCUGGUAGUCCACGCUGUAAACGAUGAUUACUAGGUGUGGGGGGACUGACCCCUUCCGUGCCGCAGUUAACACAAUAAGUAAUCCACCUGGGGAGUACGGCCGCAAGGUUGAAACUCAAAUGAAUUGGCGGGG
This 396-nucleotide ribosomal RNA is filed under the name uncultured bacterium. RNAcentral describes it as "partial 16S ribosomal RNA". It matches the Rfam family "Bacterial small subunit ribosomal RNA", at positions 523 to 918 of the family's 1533-position model. The record is from RNAcentral.